Molecule: unclassified non-coding RNA, 280 nt
Filed under: Hevea brasiliensis (rubber tree)
Lineage: Eukaryota; Viridiplantae; Streptophyta; Magnoliopsida; Malpighiales; Euphorbiaceae
Source: RNAcentral
UCCUUCUUGUUAUAGCUAUGGCCUUCAACCCAUUUAUGAUCAAGCUGGUUAUGACUGCAUGGAGAUGCCCACCAUGAAUCAUCAUUUAGAGCCGGCUGCGGAGGAACCACCACUUCUUUAGCCCAUACCUGCUUUUGAGAAUGAUAGCUUGGAAUUUAACAUGCAACCUUGCUCUUCAGGGCCCGACUACACCUGCUGGAAAGCCUCAUGAUCAUAUUUCAGUGCCGAGGAGAAGAUACCGUCCCCUUAUCAUAUUCUAAAAGAUUUUGUGACCUCAUUU